CCUACGGGAGGCAGCAGUGGGGAAUAUUGCACAAUGGAGGGAACUCUGAUGCAGCGACGCCGCGUGAGUGAUGAAGGAAUUCGUUUCGUAAAACUCUGUUCUAUGGGAAGAAAAGGACUGUACCAUAGGAGAAAGCUCCGGCUAAAUACGUGCCAGCAGCCGCGGUAAUACGUAUGGAGCGAGCGUUGUCCGGAAUUAUUGGGCGUAAAGGGUGCGCAGGCGGCUUUACAAGUUGGAUGUGAAAUAUUGUGGCUCAACCACAAACGUGCAUCCAAAACUGCAAAGCUUGAGUUAAGGAGAGGUAAGUGGAAUUCCUGGUGUAGCGGUGGAAUGCGUAGAUAUCAGGAGGAAUACCGGUGGCGAAGGCGACUUACUGGACUUAAACUGACGCUCAGGCACGAAAGCGUGGGGAGCAAACAGGAUUAGAUACCCUGGUAGUCC
Molecule: ribosomal RNA, 441 nt
Filed under: Ezakiella coagulans
Lineage: Bacteria; Bacillati; Bacillota; Tissierellia
Description: bacterial SSU rRNA
Rfam family: Bacterial small subunit ribosomal RNA
Source: RNAcentral